RNAcentral lists this ribosomal RNA (94 nucleotides) under uncultured archaeon. Its description in RNAcentral is "partial 16S ribosomal RNA". The record is from RNAcentral.
CUCCCUCGUUGCUGACCCCAGGUUCGAUAGUGCCAAUGAGACACAACCUCGCCAAGAACCAACUUCGAUGAAGCGACGGGCGGUGUGUGCAAGG